AUUGAACGCUGGCGGCAGGCUUAACACAUGCAAGUCGAGCGGGCGAGGUUGCUUCGGUAACUGAGCUAGCGGCGGACGGGUGAGUAAAGCUUAGGAAUCUGCCUAUUAGUGGGGGACAACAUUUCGAAAGGGAUGCUAAUACCGCAUACGUCCUACGGGAGAAAGCAGGGGAUCACUUGUGACCUUGCGCUAAUAGAUGAGCCUAAGUCGGAUUAGCUAGUUGGUGGGGUAAAGGCCUACCAAGGCGACGAUCUGUAGCGGGUCUGAGAGGAUGAUCCGCCACACUGGGACUGAGACACGGCCCAGACUCCUACGGGAGGCAGCAGUGGGGAAUAUUGGACAAUGGGGGGAACCCUGAUCCAGCCAUGCCGCGUGUGUGAAGAAGGCCUUUUGGUUGUAAAGCACUUUAAGCGAGGAGGAGGCUACCGAGAUUAAUACUCUUGGAUAGUGGACGUUACUCGCAGAAUAAGCACCGGCUAACUCUGUGCCAGCAGCCGCGGUAAUACAGAGGGUGCAAGCGUUAAUCGGAUUUACUGGGCGUAAAGCGCGCGUAGGUGGUUAAUUAAGUCAAAUGUGAAAUCCCCGAGCUUAACUUGGGAAUUGCAUUCGAUACUGGUUAGCUAGAGUAUGGGAGAGGAUGGUAGAAUUCCAGGUGUAGCGGUGAAAUGCGUAGAGAUCUGGAGGAAUACCGAUGGCGAAGGCAGCCAUCUGGCCUAAUACUGACACUGAGGUGCGAAAGCAUGGGGAGCAAACAGG
This 756-nucleotide ribosomal RNA is filed under the name uncultured Acinetobacter sp. RNAcentral's name for it is "bacterial SSU rRNA". It matches the Rfam family "Bacterial small subunit ribosomal RNA", at positions 28 to 776 of the family's 1533-position model. Lineage: Bacteria; Pseudomonadati; Pseudomonadota; Gammaproteobacteria; Moraxellales; Moraxellaceae. The record is from RNAcentral.